UAUAAGUGAUGGCGACCGGCGCACGGGUGAGUAACACGUGUCCAACCUGCUGAUAACUCGGGGAUAGCCUUUCGAAAGAAAGAUUAAUACCCGAUGGUAUAAUAAAACCGCAUGGUUUAAUUAUUAAAGAAUUUCGGUUAUCGAUGGGGAUGCGUUCCAUUAGGCAGUUGGUGAGGUAACGGCUCACCAAACCUUCGAUGGAUAGGGGUUCUGAGAGGAAGGUCCCCCACAUUGGAACUGAGACACGGUCCAA
This 253-nucleotide ribosomal RNA is filed under the name uncultured bacterium. RNAcentral describes it as "partial 16S ribosomal RNA". It matches the Rfam family "Bacterial small subunit ribosomal RNA", at positions 80 to 334 of the family's 1533-position model. The record is from RNAcentral.